GAUGAACGCUGGCGGCGUGCCUAAUACAUGCAAGUCGAGCGAACAGACGAGAGUGCUUGCACUCUCUGACGUUAGCGGCGGACGGGUGAGUAACACGUGGGUAACCUACCGAUAAGACUGGGAUAACUUCGGGAAACCGGAGCUAAUACCGGAUAAGAUUGAGAUUCGCAUGAAGCAAUAGUGAAAGACGGUCCUGCUGUCACGUAUAGAUGGACCCGCGGUGUAUUAGCUAGUUGGUGAGGUAACGGCUCACCAAGGCAACGAUACAUAGCCGACCUGAGAGGGUGAUCGGCCACACUGGAACUGAGACACGGCCCAGACUCCUACGGGAGGCAGCAGUAGGGAAUCUUCCGCAAUGGACGAAAGUCUGACGGAGCCAUGCCGCGUGAGUGAAGAAGGUUUUCGGAUCGUAAAACUCUGUUGUAAGGGAAGAACAAGUACGUUAGUAACUGAACGUACCUUGACGGUACCUUACCAGAAAGCCACGGCUAACUACGUG
Molecule: ribosomal RNA, 499 nt
Filed under: uncultured bacterium
Lineage: Bacteria
Description: partial 16S ribosomal RNA
Rfam family: Bacterial small subunit ribosomal RNA
Source: RNAcentral